AUCACUUCUUGGCCUUUUGGCUACGAUCAAGUGUAGUAUCAAAUUCUGCCACUUUAAAAAAAUAAAAUAAAUACACAAUAGGGCAAGGAGACUUUAAUUCAUUUGUGUGUAUGGCUUUUCCACCUUACAGUCUUGGGUUAUAAUAGGCAAAAAAGUGGUAGGGGCCGAUUUGA
Molecule: small nuclear RNA, 173 nt
Organism: Oryctolagus cuniculus (rabbit)
Lineage: Eukaryota; Metazoa; Chordata; Mammalia; Lagomorpha; Leporidae
Gene: U2
Rfam family: U2 spliceosomal RNA
About the family: U2 is a small nuclear RNA (snRNA) component of the spliceosome (involved in pre-mRNA splicing). Complementary binding between U2 snRNA (in an area lying towards the 5' end but 3' to hairpin I) and the branchpoint sequence (BPS) of the intron results the bulging out of an unpaired adenosine, on the BPS, which initiates a nucleophilic attack at the intronic 5' splice site, thus starting the first of two transesterification reactions that mediate splicing.
Source: Ensembl